RNAcentral lists this ribosomal RNA (694 nucleotides) under uncultured bacterium. RNAcentral describes it as "bacterial SSU rRNA". It matches the Rfam family "Bacterial small subunit ribosomal RNA", at positions 32 to 715 of the family's 1533-position model. The record is from RNAcentral.
AACGCUAGCUACAGGCUUAACACAUGCAAGUCGAGGGGCAGCAUGGUCUUAGCUUGCUAAGGCCGAUGGCGACCGGCGCACGGGUGAGUAACACGUAUCCAACCUGCCGUCUACUCUUGGACAGCCUUCUGAAAGGAAGAUUAAUACAAGAUGGCAUCAUGAGUCCGCAUGUUCACAUGAUUAAAGGUAUUCCGGUAGACGAUGGGGAUGCGUUCCAUUAGAUAGUAGGCGGGGUAACGGCCCACCUAGUCUUCGAUGGAUAGGGGUUCUGAGAGGAAGGUCCCCCACAUUGGAACUGAGACACGGUCCAAACUCCUACGGGAGGCAGCAGUGAGGAAUAUUGGUCAAUGGGCGAGAGCCUGAACCAGCCAAGUAGCGUGAAGGAUGACUGCCCUAUGGGUUGUAAACUUCUUUUAUAAAGGAAUAAAGUCGGGUAUGGAUACCCGUUUGCAUGUACUUUAUGAAUAAGGAUCGGCUAACUCCGUGCCAGCAGCCGCGGUAAUACGGAGGAUCCGAGCGUUAUCCGGAUUUAUUGGGUUUAAAGGGAGCGUAGAUGGAUGUUUAAGUCAGUUGUGAAAGUUUGCGGCUCAACUGUAAAAUUGCAGUUGAUACUGGAUAUCUUGAGUGCAGUUGAGGCAGGCGGAAUUCGUGGUGUAGCGGUGAAAUGCUUAGAUAUCACGAAGAACUCCGAUUG